Molecule: ribosomal RNA, 253 nt
Filed under: uncultured bacterium
Lineage: Bacteria
Description: partial 16S ribosomal RNA
Rfam family: Bacterial small subunit ribosomal RNA
Source: RNAcentral
UACGUAGGGUGCGAGCGUUAAUCGGAAUUACUGGGCGUAAAGCGUGCGCAGGCGGUUUCUGAAGUCCGUUGUGAAAGCCCCGGGCUUAACCUGGGAAUGGCAGUGGAAACUAGGAGACUUGAAUCUGGCAGAGGGGGGUGGAAUGCCACGUGUAGCAGUGAAAUGCGUAGAGAUGUGGCGGAACACCGAUGGCGAAGGCAGCCCCCUGGGUCAAGAUUGACGCUCAGGCACGAAAGCGUGGGAAGCAAACAGG